CAAAAAACAAUGAUGAGACGAGUAACUUAUAAAAGCUUUUUCAGAGAGAAGAUGCAGUGGUGGGAGCAUCUUUAAAGACUAUAAGUGAAGACUACCUCGGAGUGAUUGUAAAACAAUUCGGUGACCCCGUUAUCGUCAGUAAAGCGAGUGACUUUAACUUUGGUAAGUUUAAGCAUGAAUGAAUAGUUCUUUAUAGGGAGGAAGCAUUCAUAUAACUUAGCCAAGCAAAGUAACAAGGGUGGAACCGCGGGAAUACAUAUCCCCGUCCCUUUU
RNAcentral lists this non-coding RNA (273 nucleotides) under Cellulosilyticum lentocellum. RNAcentral's name for it is "Clostridium lentocellum T-box sequence". It matches the Rfam family "T-box leader". From Rfam's summary of the family: Uncharged tRNA acts as the effector for transcription antitermination of genes in the T-box leader family. T-boxes are found upstream of many aminoacyl-tRNA synthetase genes and some amino acid biosynthetic genes usually in Gram-positive bacteria. The record is from RNAcentral. Lineage: Bacteria; Bacillati; Bacillota; Clostridia; Lachnospirales; Cellulosilyticaceae.